GACUCUGCAGUUCAGUUGGUUAGAACGCUGCACGGGAAUCGCAAGACCGCAGGUUCAAUUCCUGCCAGAGUGG
This is a non-coding RNA of Paramuricea clavata, 73 nucleotides long. Lineage: Eukaryota; Metazoa; Cnidaria; Anthozoa; Malacalcyonacea; Plexauridae. The record is from the annotation of a GenBank genome assembly.